Long non-coding RNA from Bombina bombina (fire-bellied toad), 726 nucleotides. RefSeq lists it as uncharacterized. Lineage: Eukaryota; Metazoa; Chordata; Amphibia; Anura; Bombinatoridae. The record is from RefSeq and is a predicted model, not a curated record. The transcript is spliced from 6 exons.
CCUGUACAGAGACAGAAAUUGCGCCAAAAUUUGAAUGAGAAUAAACUACUGAUUUUACGAUGUGAGGAGAGAGGCCAUAUUGUGAAAAGAGCUCACUUCACCUUAGCUGUUUUCGCAAUAGAAAUGCUAUCACUAGAUGAUGCCCACUCAAUACAAUAACACGGUGUGGUGUAUGAUUGUUGUACAAAGUUUGCGUAGAAGUGGAAGACUACAAGCUUAUCGGUACGACUUACAGAUUGCAGAGAACUUGAUCAAACGCUUUCAUGCAACUAUUCCUUGAUGGGAACUUGUGACAUCAUGCCAACUGGCUUGUUUGGAAUAACUGUUCAGCUCAAAAAUGGCUCCAGUGGUUAGACGGAUGAUGGCACGGCAGAAUGGCUUUAUGGAAACUUCAAGCAUAUGACGGCUUACAUUUCUUCCACAUGGUUAUGAGGCCAGUUUGCAGGUGAUGCUAAAGUUAUCAGAUCUACAGCACCCGUUGACAUACAGCCAACACGUGUCUAGUUCAUUGUCAAAAGAAAUGUUUGUGCCUCUCUUGUUACAACAGGUGUUUUCCAGUUGGAGUACGUGUGUGUGUUUUGUGUAACUGCUGCUCUCACAACUCGGUGUACCCGUGGAAAGGGAUUGUCCUUGGUGUUCCUGUUUGAACUAUAAACCUGCCUAUUUAAUACAAUGCUGUUAAGGUGUUUGAUAUCUGUUAUAUUAAUAAAGUUGUGACUGAUCUUA